RNAcentral lists this long non-coding RNA (665 nucleotides) under Fukomys damarensis (Damara mole-rat). RNAcentral's name for it is "lncRNA (ENSFDAG00000024021.1)". Lineage: Eukaryota; Metazoa; Chordata; Mammalia; Rodentia; Bathyergidae. The record is from RNAcentral.
GGCAUAUUCAAGCCCAGCUUGGGUAAUUUAGCAACUUCGUGAGAAACCCUGUUUCAAAAUAGAAAAAAUCAUCAGCCAGGUGUGGCUUGCAUGGCUGAGGGGAGCGGCCAGGUUAACUCUGGUAAGGCUGGGGUAAGCAUUAGGUGAGGAGCCAGCCGCAGAGCAGCCGCACACUCUCCCUGCAGGCGACGCCUCCUUUCCUUUCCCCAGGCCAGAAGGAAAAUCACCUCUCCCAUCUCUGCCUGCAUUCACUUCCUCCCAGGCCCAUCUCUACUUGGACCUCUGCUGUUAACAACAACUAUUUAGGAAAACGAGAUCUGUUUUCCCACGGUCUUUGUUUCCUGGGCCCAACGACAAAGGCCCAAAACUCCAGCUUCACCAACCGAAAUGACCGUCUCGCGAGUUCCGGGGGCUCCACGUCCAGAGCGUAGGUGUUAAGGGAGCUGACUGGAUCGAUCCCCCCACACGUGCCGAGCAGGGAGCCCCAGGCCCUUCCCACUGAGCCUCACCAGGGCGCCCUACCGCGCAGUUACAGCGCGUACAGUCAGCCACCGGAAUCCUGCCUUCCGGGAGGCAGCCUGGGCAAGUCAGCUACCUUGACCUCCAGCAAGACAGGGUUUCUUUCCCUAGUCUUGUUUCGCAGGCUGGACUUGAAUUUGUGACCC